AAUCCAGUUUAUCCUGCUGGCGGAUGCGGCUAUCUGGUUUAUACUUAGGCAUGCAAGUCUCCCGCGAGGGGGCGAACUGCUCAGUAACACGUAGCUAACCUACCCUUAGAUCAUAGAUAACCUCGGGAAACUGAGGAUAAACUGUGAUAGGAAAUUGUUUCUGGAAUGAGCAAUUUCUCAAAUUCGAGUCUAAGGAUGGGGCUGCGGCUGAUUAGGUAGUUGUUGGUGUAAAGGACUAACAAGCCAAUUAUCAGUAAGGGCUCUUAGCGGAGAAGCCCUGAGAAGGAAUCUGAGACACUAUUCCUAGUCCUACGGGGUGCAGCAGCUGAGGAACUUUUUCAAUGCGCGCAAGCGUGAAAGAGUAAGCCAGAGUGUUGUUCUUAGAACAACUUUUGUUUGCUGUAAAAAGGCAGACGAAUAAGGACUGGGCAAGACCGGUGCCAGCCGCCGCGGUAAUCCCG
This 461-nucleotide ribosomal RNA is filed under the name Candidatus Pacearchaeota archaeon. RNAcentral describes it as "bacterial SSU rRNA". It matches the Rfam family "Archaeal small subunit ribosomal RNA", at positions 1 to 478 of the family's 1478-position model. Lineage: Archaea; Nanobdellati. The record is from RNAcentral.